RNAcentral lists this long non-coding RNA (720 nucleotides) under Mytilus galloprovincialis (Mediterranean mussel). The record is from RNAcentral. Lineage: Eukaryota; Metazoa; Mollusca; Bivalvia; Mytilida; Mytilidae.
AAUUAAUUAGUAACUAUAUGAAAUCAAAUAAAGUACAUUUUCUUAUUACAAUAGAUGUAUAGCGACGACUGAGAAAAAGGCUGGUCGUCUACGUAAGGGUUGUCACAAUCGGCAACUGGAUUUUCAAUUGGAUAGCCCUUCUUAAAACUCAUGACGUCUUCCUGUUGGUCUGCAAAGAUAUCCAAACCUCCAAACGCAGUCUAGUUUGGUGUGUACCUGUUGUUUGUAGUUGUGAGGUGUCUUCCCCGUUUUUUUUUGUUUUUUUUCUUUCCUUACAACUAUAUUGUGUUGAUGUUUUGUGUCCCAGCACAGUUCUAAAUUUGGUAGCAUCACCAGAAAAUAUUGAAAAUUUUUUCCAUUAAGUUUUUUCUUGUUUGUUCAAAAAUAAUUUCUUCUGAGCCAGCAUCAAAAUCAAUAGAGGUCCUUUUUUUCUCUAAAUUAGAAUGAUGAUUAUGAAUAUGUUACCACAACUGCAAAGCAAAUAAAAAAAACUAUUAUGAACGUUUAUCCUGAAACCCAUUAAAUGUUCUCUUCAUUGGCAUAGCUUCACCCCCUCCCUCAAUAUCAAUACCACCACCCGUUCUACAACUUAAACACCAUCUUCCAAAGAAAUAUCCAAUAAAUCCAAUUAAAACUGAAAAAAAAAAUCAAUUGUUUUCAAUUUCUUUCAUUUCUAUAUCCUGUAUACCUAUCAUUUGUUUUUAAUAAAGUGUACGAGCC